UCCCAAAAUAAACUCUUCCUGCUCAAGUUAGAGCCUUGGGCUUAAAGUCUCAGCGUCCUGGAACCAGAACAAUACAAACACGGGAUCAGCGGAAUGAGACAGGAGCAUUUGUGAGCGAUGCGAUCAUCGCUUUGUUAGUGCAGGCUCUGUGACACGCUGGGAAUGCGUUGAAGUUAGGGGGGAUUUUAGUCAAUAUAAGGGAAGACUAGGUGCCAUCUACUGGUGAAGAAACUGACAACUUUCCAUUUUUCCAACAAAACUUUGUGUCUUUUCAGACAGUGCCGUCAGCAGGAGCUGGUUGUAGAAUAUACACAACAUCGUUAUCCUGUGGUCAUGAUAAGUUGGCAAGGCUGUCCAAUCCAAUUGCCAGCCUGAUUUCCAAAAUUUCACCCUACAAAACUCAUGUGCAAGAUGGUAAAGAUUACAUAAAAGGAUGUCCACUAUGGCACUCUUCGCAAUUACUAGGAAAAUGAACCAAGUGUCCACUGAUGGGAGUCUGAUUAAUUAUAUUAUAUAUAUAUCUGCUACACAAUAAAAUGACACAACAAAGGAGCUUAUAGCCAUCAAAAAGACAGAAGUGGAGUUAUUGACCAGGAGCAGUAUGUUUGAGAAAUAUCUGGUGAAAUAGGAAGAACUGCAGGGAGAAAAGAGCCAACCAGGACCACAAGCUCCAGGACCAGAGGGCAGAGGAAGACCUUGUGAUUUAAAGGAGGUGCUGACAGGAGUACCUGGAAGGAAAGACUUCAUGCUUGAUACCUGGGCUAAGACACCAAAUAAUGGGAAACUACCCAUGAUUGGGCACUGUGACUGGAUGAAAUCUGCUUCUCAGAACAAACCACUCACUGGAGAAGAGUUUAACUGAG
Molecule: long non-coding RNA, 863 nt
Filed under: Equus asinus (donkey)
Lineage: Eukaryota; Metazoa; Chordata; Mammalia; Perissodactyla; Equidae
Description: lncRNA (ENSEASG00005024977.1, ENSEASG00020004754.1)
Source: RNAcentral